Molecule: long non-coding RNA, 2671 nt
Organism: Cavia porcellus (domestic guinea pig)
Lineage: Eukaryota; Metazoa; Chordata; Mammalia; Rodentia; Caviidae
Exons: 3
Source: RefSeq, a predicted model, not a curated record
ACAGUUGUUCGCAUCCAAGUGCUCCAUGACCUCAUGAGUCGUCUCAUCUCUCUGUUUCUUGACAAGAGGAUAAGCAUACUUUUCUGGUUUACUUCACAUGUUUGUCAUGAGACCACGAUGAACUAAUGGAUAUGAAACUGCUUCGUAUAAGAUAAAAGAGUAGAGCCAAAGAUCUCUUCUUCAUGACAUUUUCACAAAAGACAGUAUUUAAGAUUUUACAUCUCUCAAGAGCCCAGUAAAAGAGAGAGAAUGAGAGAAAACACUGCCUGCACAGUCUUUCUGAGAAUAGGUGUAUUUGACAGCAUCAAGAAAUGUUGAUGUGAAUGACGGACAGCAUUCAGAGCCAUCGCCCCUGAUCCCAAACAGUCACCCUGAGUGAAAGUGACAACACCAACAACGUUCUAACUCAUCACUCCAGUCCAUCAAGGAGAUCACAAUAAGAUGAAGAUUUCCACUUCUCUUUCUGGGCUAAAAUGCUGUUUGGACUCAGACAAUAGUUUCAAAGCACAAUACUGAGGAAGAAAAUAAAAGCACUGGAUGUAUGUAAAUGUAAAAAAGUCCCAUCUUCCCCUUUUUCUCUAGGCUUUCCUCCUCAACUCUAUCUCCAUUCUGCAUAGGUUUUGCUUGCAAUGGACAAUGAAAUCUAAUCAGCUCCACUAAUGAUUGCCAAGUGACAAAAACUAUUAGCAAGUAAUGAAAGAAGACUUAACACCAAUACUCCUCAAACUAUUUAAUGAAAUUGAAAGGGAAGCAAUUCUCCCUGAUUCCUAAACGCAAGUGUUACCCUGACUAAAAACAAACAAACAAAACAGAGAAAGACCCAACCAAAAUGGAGAACUACAAGCCAAUCUCCCUAAUGGAUAUAGAUGGCAAAAUUUUCAAUAAGAUCCUAGCAAACAGAAUGCAGCAAACCAUCAUGAAGAUUAUAUACCAUGAACAAGUUGGAUUCAUCCCAGGAAUGCAGGGAUGGUUCAACAUGCAGAAAAUCAAUAAAUGUAAUAUACCAUGUCAACAGAGCCAAAGACAAAAAUCACAUGAUCAUCUCAAUAGAUGCAGAAAACACUUUUGAUAAAGUCCAACACUCAUUCAUGGUAAAAACCAUAGAGAAAAUUAGAAUAGAUGGUCUUUACUUCAAUCUGAUAAAAAUCCAUCUAUGACAAACUAACAGCCAACAUCAUACUUACUGGACAAAAACUGAAAGUUUGAGCCAGGCAUGGUGGUGCACUUCUGUAAUUCCAGCACUUAAGAGAUAACCCUUGAUCGUGAACCAGCUCCCAAAACUGUUACACAGAUUUAACAGCCAUACUUCCAAUACUGAUAUGCAGGUUUAAGACAAUUCUGAUCAAAAUACCUUUAGCAUAUCCCACAUACCUAGAGACAACAUUCCUAAAUUUCACAUGAAAUCAUAAGAGAACAAUGGCAAAGGCAAUCCUGGGCAGCAAAGACAAGGCAGGAGACACCACAGCCCCAGACUUGAAAUUAUACUACAAUACUGUUAUAAUAAAAUCAGCAUGGUACUAGCAAAAAAAAAUGGACCUGAGUAUCAAUAGAACAAAAUAGAAGAUACAGACACAACUACACACACUCUCAGCCACUUUAUUUUUGACAGAAAGGCUAAACAUGUUCACCAGAAAAAGGAAGCAUCUUCAAUAAGUUGUGUUGGAAAAACUGGCUUUCUACAUGCUGAAGACUUAAUCUAAACCCAUAUCUAUAUCACCAUGCACUAAACAAAAGUCAAAAUGAUCAAAGAUCUGAAUAUUAAGACAGAAACACAAAAUCUACUCAAAGACAAAGUAGGUAAAAAUCUCAAGGACAUGGGAGUAGGUAAAGUGUUCAAGAACAAAAGCCCAACUGCAUGAGAAGUGCUUCGAAGAAUCAAAAACUGGGAUCUCCUCUUAUUAAAAAGUGUUUGCACAUUGAAAGGAAUCACAUACAGAGUGAAAAGAAAGCCUAUGGAUUGGAAAAAGAUUUUUGCCAACUGUCCCUCAGCCAAAGGAUUCUAUCUAGAACAUACAAAGAAUUUUAAAAAAACCCUCAGAUCUCCCAAAUUCAAAGGCCCAAUCCAAAAAAUGGACAUCUGAAAUGAGUAUACAACUCUGAGAUAAAGAAAUACAAAUGGCAAAUAAAUAUAUGAAAAUGUGUUCAUCACUGGUCAUUUGAGAAAUAUAAAUUAAAACAACACUGAGAUAUCAUCUCCAGAAAGAAUGCCUAACAUCAAGAAAUCAACCAAUAACAAAUGUUGGCGGGGCUGUGGGAAAAAAAGGAACACUUUUCCAUUGUUGGUGGGAGUAUAGAUGCAUACUGUGGAAACUGUUAGGAAAUUCCUCAGAAAAUAGGGUUAGAGGUUCCAUUCAACACAGCUAUUCCCCUUCUGGGUAUUAUCCCAGAAUAAUUGAAAACAUCGUGCCACAGCAACAUAUGUGCAUCCAAGUUUAUAGUUGCACAAUUUAUAAUAGCCAGAUCUUAGAAACAACCCAAAUGUCCAACAACUGAGGAAUGGAUAAAAAAGAUGUGGUAUUUUUAUACAAGGGAGUGCUACUCAGCUAUAAAGAAUAACAAGUUAGAAAUUUUUAUAGGUAAAUGGAUGCAACUAGAAACCAUAUUCACAAGUGAAAUAAAUCAGACUUGUACGUAUAAACACCAUAUUGUCUUGCUAUGUAAGAAACUAAAA